GUGCACCAGGCGAGAAACUUUACAAUGUGCGAAAGCACGAUAAGGGAACUCUGAGUGCCUCCUAAGGAGGCUGUUCAGGUGUCUAAAAGCACCUGGAGUAAGGGCUGGGUAAGACCGGUGCCAGCCGCCGCGGUAACACCGGCAGCCCAGGUGGUAGCCACUUUUAUUGGGUCUAAAGCGUCCGUAGCCGGUUGAGUAAGUUCCUUGGGAAAUUUGGCUGCUCAACAGUCAAGCUUCCAGGGAAUACUGCUCGACUUGGGACUGGGAGAGGUCAGAGGUACUCCAGGGGUAGGGGUGAAAUCCAUUAAUCCCUGGGGGACCACCGGUAGCGAAGGCGUCUGACCAGACCAGGUCCGACGGUGAGGGACGAAGGCUAGGGGGCGCGAACCGGAUUAGAUACCCCC
RNAcentral lists this ribosomal RNA (404 nucleotides) under uncultured microorganism. Its description in RNAcentral is "bacterial SSU rRNA". It matches the Rfam family "Archaeal small subunit ribosomal RNA", at positions 330 to 740 of the family's 1478-position model. The record is from RNAcentral.